UGGUUUGGUUCCGAUCGGACAAAAAACCUAGGACUAGUUCGCAAAAGUAGGUUUUUAACAUAUUUGUGAAUAACAAUUGAACGAUUUGAUUGACAGCAAUGGUUCUUGAGGCAAAGUUGUGCAUUAUGAGGAGAUCUAUCAAAUGAUAUGCAUAUUGUGUUGAUAUGUGAAACACCACGUGAUUACAGAGCCAUAAAACUCGUUAGCGCCAACUAGUGGCCGAUUUCUUUCAAAAUUCUUACAGACCUUAAGGUUCAUGAGUCGAACGUACCCAGUGAGUUUCGUUCCGAUCAACAUCCGUUAACCCUUUCAAAUAGGUGCUUAAAUUUGUUUGGCCAAUGGCGGCCAUGUUUUUUUGAGAUAUGCAAAUGUCCUCAUAGGUACUUGUGCCCCUUCAGACCAAGACACUGCAUACCGAUUUUCAAGUCGAUCGAGCCAACGGUUGCCUAGUUAUAGCCAUUUAUGUGUUUUUUCUAUCUUAUAGCGCCCCCAAGUGGCAGAGAUGCGCAAUUUUUUUGAUUUGACCAAAGAUUGAGCUCUUACAUAUGCGUACCGAGUUUGGUGAAGAUAUCUCAUUCCGUUCAAGAGUUAUAGUUAAAAUAGCAUUUGGCUAACGUUAGCAUUGACGCUUUUUGGUGUACUGUUUCGCGUAAGAAUUGAAAUUUCAACUUUUUUUUGAUAAUUAUUGAUAUUGAGUGUCCAGGGAAUAUUCAUGAAGUGGUUUGGUUCUGAUUGGUUGAAAAUCCUAGGACUAGUUCGCAAAAGUAGGUUUCGGAUAUAGCUUGAUUUUGCGAGAAAACGGUGCGUCGUAGACCCCAAAAAGGCGCCGUGCACUUUUGUUCGGGCUAACCCAAGGAUUGCAACAAUGCCAUGUUUUUGAGUCUACGGCUAACGGUAUACGAUUUACGGCCAAAAAUGUCCAAAAUUUUUGUUUUUUGCGCUGUAGCGCCCCCGUUAGGCCGAUUGGGCUGAGACUUUGAUAAGUUCUCCCCAAAUUGAGCUCUACGAUCUGUCCAAAUUUCAGCUCUCUAGGCCUUACGGUUUGGGCUGCACGUUCAGUUCUAGGGCAGAAGAAUAAUAAUAAUAAUAAUAAUAAUAAUAAAAAUCCUAACAAUUACAAUAGGGUUUCAGCACUGCGUGCUUGAACCCCUAAUUAAAGCUGCAAGCAGCAUUUUACCGGGGUUCAAGCACAUUAAGGCCUCUGAGGUGGUCAGAGCCAACCUGGAUGCAUGGAUGACAGUUAAACACAUCCAAAAUGGAGAACAGGCUAACAGACAGACACACACACUGAAAGUAAAUGAUUAGACUAAUAUAUUAAUACUCUAUAAGCAUAUGCACACAUACACACACA
Long non-coding RNA from Carassius gibelio (silver crucian carp), 1351 nucleotides. RefSeq lists it as uncharacterized. The transcript has 3 exons. NCBI's taxonomy places the organism in Eukaryota, Metazoa, Chordata, Actinopteri, Cypriniformes, Cyprinidae. The record is from RefSeq and is a predicted model, not a curated record.